This is a long non-coding RNA of Micropterus salmoides (largemouth bass), 765 nucleotides long. RefSeq lists it as uncharacterized. The record is from RefSeq and is a predicted model, not a curated record. The transcript is spliced from 4 exons. NCBI's taxonomy places the organism in Eukaryota, Metazoa, Chordata, Actinopteri, Centrarchiformes, Centrarchidae.
AGAGAGAGGAGAGGAAACGAGGACGAAGCAAGUCCAGACUGAGUCCAGACCAAGUCUAGACCAAGAUCAGACAAUGAGAAGAAAGGAGACAGCCUGAACUGUGAACUCGCUCACUGAAAAGAGAGGAGAGGAGACGAGGACAACACUAGUCCAGAUUGAGUCCAGACCAAGUUCCGACAAGAGAAAAGAGGAGACAGCCUGAACUGUGAACUCACUCACUGAAAAGAGAGGAGAGGAGACGAGGACAACACUAGUCCAGACUGAGUCCAGACCAAGAUCGACAAGAGAAGAGAGGAGACAGCCUGAACUGUGAACUCGCUCAUUUUAAAGGGAAAAUGCACAUUUAUUUGAUGUUAUCAGAAUUCCUACUAUGAUCAAUAGUUCUCCUCCUUCAGCCUUUUUGCUAAAGUUAUUAACUGUUAUUCUUUUUUCUGCAUUUGUCUUUCACUGAGAGGAGAGGAAACGAGGACGACACUACUCCAGACUGAGUCCAGAGUGAGUCCAGACCAAGACCAGACGACAUGAGACAAGGAGACCGCAUAAAUGAAAAGGAGGACGAGCGAGACGUCUCCUCAUCUGCAGCAGCAUCACAGACAGUUUAUUGUCUCGAACAUCUUCCUGUCUGUCAUCAAGAAGACCAAAAUCAACACUGAAUUUAUUCUUCUGACAUGUGGCUGUGUAGUCCCAUGAUGAACAUCAUUAAUGUUUGUGUUCAACCUGCUUUUUGUCCUUAAUAAAUAAAACAUAUUCACUGGACAAGGUAAA